AUCAUGGCUCAGAUUGAACGCUGGCGGCAGGCCUAACACAUGCAAGUCGAACGGUAACAGGAAGCAGCUUGCUGCUUUGCUGACGAGUGGCGGACGGGUGAGUAAUGUCUGGGAAACUGCCUGAUGGAGGGGGAUAACUACUGGAAACGGUAGCUCUUUAAAAAUCUGGAUCAAGCUGAAAAUUGAAACGACACACAGCUCAUGUGUGUUCGAGUCUCUCAAAUUUUCGCAAUCAGAAGUGAAACAUCUUCGGGUUGUGAGGUUAAGCGACUAAGCGUACACGGUGGAUGCCCUGGCAGUCAGAGGCGAU
RNAcentral lists this ribosomal RNA (310 nucleotides) under Enterobacter hormaechei subsp. xiangfangensis. Its description in RNAcentral is "partial 16S ribosomal RNA". The stretch from base 156 to 253 matches the Rfam family "Salmonella enterica Typhi npcRNA 44". Lineage: Bacteria; Pseudomonadati; Pseudomonadota; Gammaproteobacteria; Enterobacterales; Enterobacteriaceae. The record is from RNAcentral.